This 380-nucleotide RNase P RNA is filed under the name Bacillota bacterium. Its description in RNAcentral is "RNase P RNA component class A". It matches the Rfam family "Bacterial RNase P class A". Rfam says of the family: Ribonuclease P (RNase P) is a ubiquitous endoribonuclease, found in archaea, bacteria and eukarya as well as chloroplasts and mitochondria. Its best characterised activity is the generation of mature 5'-ends of tRNAs by cleaving the 5'-leader elements of precursor-tRNAs. Lineage: Bacteria; Bacillati; Bacillota. The record is from RNAcentral. RNAcentral also lists the same sequence under 2 other names.
UGAGUAAGACGGACGGUCGCGUGAGCAGGAACUAUCCUGUUCAUGAGGAAAGUCCGGGCUCCAUAGGGCAGGGUGCCAGAUAACGUCUGGCGAAGGUGACUUCAGGGAAAGUGCAACAGAAACACACCGCCGAUCGGCGCAAUCGCCGAGGUAAGGGUGAAAUGGUGAGGUAAGAGCUCACCGGCGGUAUGGUAACAUACCGGCCGUGCAAACCCCACCCGGAGCAAGACCAAGAUAGGGAGGAACUGCCGAAAGGCAAGUUCCUGAAAGGCGGCGGCCCGUCGCUUCCCGAGAGGUAGGUCGCUUGAGCCUGUUGGUGACAGCAGGCCUAGAUAGAUGAUCGUCUAAUACAGAACCCGGCUUACAGUCUUACUCACAUU